Molecule: ribosomal RNA, 484 nt
Filed under: uncultured bacterium
Lineage: Bacteria
Description: partial 16S ribosomal RNA
Rfam family: Bacterial small subunit ribosomal RNA
Source: RNAcentral
AUUGAACGCUGGCGGCAGGCCUAACACAUGCAAGUCGAGCGGAUGAAGGGAUGUUGCCCCUGGAUUCAGCGGCGGACGGGUGUGUAAUGCCUAGGAAUCUGCCUGGUAGUGGGGGAUAACGUCCGGAGACGGGCGGUAUUAUCGCAUACGCGCUGUGGGAGAAAGAGGGGGAUAUUCGCACCUCACGCUAUCAGAUGUGCCUAGGUCGGAUUAGAUAGUUGGUGGGGUAAAGGCCUACCAAGGCGACGAUCCGUAACUGGUCUGAGAGGAUGAUCAGUCACACUGGGACUGAGACACGGUCCAGACUCCUACGGGAGGCAGCAGUGGGGAAUUUUGGACAAUGGGCGAAAGCCUGAUCCAGCCAUGCCGCGUGUGUGAAGAAGGUCUUCGGAUUGUAAAGCACUUUAAGUUGGGAAGAAGGGCAGUGAGUUAAUACCUUGCUGUGUUGACGUUACCAACAGAAUAAGCACCGGCUAACUUCGUG